Molecule: ribosomal RNA, 547 nt
Filed under: Lobianchia dofleini
Lineage: Eukaryota; Metazoa; Chordata; Actinopteri; Myctophiformes; Myctophidae
Description: partial 16S large subunit ribosomal RNA
Rfam family: Bacterial large subunit ribosomal RNA
Source: RNAcentral
UAAGAGGUCCCGCCUGCCCGGUGACUAUACGUUUAACGGCCGCGGUAUUUUGACCGUGCGAAGGUAGCGCAAUCACUUGUCCCUUAAAUGGGGACCUGUAUGAAAGGCAUCACGAGGGCUUGACUGUCUCCCCUUUAAAGUCAGUGAAAUUGAUCUCCCCGUGCAGAAGCGGGGAUAUGCUCGUAAGACGAGAAGACCCUGUGGAGCUUAAGACACAAGGUGGCCCCCGUCAAGCACCCCCUCCUAAAGGAAUACAAACUAAAUGGCCCCCGCCAGAGUGUCUUCGGUUGGGGCGACCGCGGGGAAAAACAAAACCCCCACAUGGAUCAGGGCCACAACUUAGCCCUACAACCUAGACCCCCAAGUCAAACCAACAGUAUUACUGACCACCAAAGAGCCGGCAAUGCCGAUUAACGGACCAAGUUACCCCAGGGAUAACAGCGCAAUCCCCUCCCAGAGCCCAUAUCGACUAGGGGGUUUACGACCUCGAUGUUGGAUCAGGACAUCCUGAUGGUGCAGCCGCUAUCAAGGGUUCGUUUGUUCAACG